Molecule: transfer RNA, 60 nt
Filed under: Cricetulus griseus (Chinese hamster)
Lineage: Eukaryota; Metazoa; Chordata; Mammalia; Rodentia; Cricetidae
Rfam family: tRNA
About the family: Transfer RNA (tRNA) molecules are approximately 80 nucleotides in length. Their secondary structure includes four short double-helical elements and three loops (D, anti-codon, and T loops).
Source: Rfam by way of RNAcentral
UGUAGCCCAGUUGUAGAGUACUUGUCUAGCAAACAAGAGGCCUAGGUUUAAUACCUAGCA